Molecule: ribosomal RNA, 253 nt
Filed under: uncultured bacterium
Lineage: Bacteria
Description: partial 16S ribosomal RNA
Rfam family: Bacterial small subunit ribosomal RNA
Source: RNAcentral
UACGUAGGGGGCAAGCGUUGUCCGGAUUUAUUGGGCGUAAAGAGCGUGUAGGCGGCCAUGCAGGUCAGCUGUGAAAACUCGAGGCUCAACCUCGAGACGUCGGUUGAAACCGUAUGGCUAGAGUCCGGAAGAGGAGAGUGGAAUUCCCGGUGUAGCGGUGAAAUGCGCAGAUAUCGGGAAGAACACCCAUGGCGAAGGCAGCUCUCUGGGACGGUACUGACGCUGAGGCGCGAAAGCGUGGGGAGCAAACAGG